CCUACGGGUGGCAGCAGUGAGGAAUAUUGGUCAAUGGACGAGAGUCUGAACCAGCCAAGUAGCGUGAAGGAUGACUGCCCUAUGGGUUGUAAACUUCUUUUAUAUGGGAAUAAAACGUUCCACGUGUGGGAUUUUGUAUGUACCAUAUGAAUAAGGAUCGGCUAACUCCGUGCCAGCAGCCGCGGUAAUACGGAGGAUCCGAGCGUUAUCCGGAUUUAUUGGGUUUAAAGGUAGCGUAGGUGGAUUGUUAAGUCAGUUGUGAAAGUUUGCGGCUCAACCGUAAAAUUGCAGUUGAAACUGGCAGUCUUGAGUACAGUAGAGGUGGGCGGAAUUCGUGGUGUAGCGGUGAAAUGCUUAGAUAUCACGAAGAACUCCGAUUGCGAAGGCAGUUCACUGGACUGCAACUGACACUGAGGCUCGAAAGUGUGGGUAUCAAACAGGAUUAGAUACCCUUGUAGUC
This 460-nucleotide ribosomal RNA is filed under the name uncultured bacterium. Its description in RNAcentral is "partial 16S ribosomal RNA". It matches the Rfam family "Bacterial small subunit ribosomal RNA", at positions 338 to 795 of the family's 1533-position model. The record is from RNAcentral.